Molecule: ribosomal RNA, 540 nt
Filed under: uncultured bacterium
Lineage: Bacteria
Description: bacterial SSU rRNA
Rfam family: Bacterial small subunit ribosomal RNA
Source: RNAcentral
AAUAGAUACCCAGGUAGUCCACCCCGUAAACGUUGGGAACUAGUUGUGGGGUCCAUUCCACGGAUUCCGUGACGCAGCUAACGCAUUAAGUUCCCCGCCUGGGGAGUACGGCCGCAAGGCUAAAACUCAAAGGAAUUGACGGGGACCCGCACAAGCGGCGGAGCAUGCGGAUUAAUUCGAUGCAACGCGAAGAACCUUACCAAGGCUUGACAUAUACGAGAACGCUGCAGAAAUGUAGAACUCUUUGGACACUCGUAAACAGGUGGUGCAUGGUUGUCGUCAGCUCGUGUCGUGAGAUGUUGGGUUAAGUCCCGCAACGAGCGCAACCCUCGUUCUAUGUUGCCAGCACGUAAUGGUGGGAACUCAUGGGAUACUGCCGGGGUCAACUCGGAGGAAGGUGGGGAUGACGUCAAAUCAUCAUGCCCCUUAUGUCUUGGGCUUCACGCAUGCUACAAUGGCCGGUACAAAGGGCUGCAAUACCGUAAGGUGAGCGAAAUCCCAAAAAGCCGGUCCCAGUUCGGAUUGAGGUCUGCAACUCGA